CAGAGCGGGUGACGUCAGGUGGGGCAGAACCAAUGAGAGGCCGAGUUGAGGGCCGGGAGUGGGAAAGCAUGAAUGAAAAGUGCCGCGCGCCGCUCCCCCCCGGCGCAGAGGCUGCGGGCAGCAGGUAGGUGCCGUGCCGUGCCGUGCCGUGCCGUGCCGUGCCGUGCCGUGCCGUGCCGUGCCGUGCCGUGCCGUGCCGUCAACAGGCUCAGAAAUUCGGAGCUCUCGGCUCCGCGCCCCCUGCAGUGUGGAUCUUGUCCGGCCGCCCCGAGGAAAGGAGGCUGCAGGUGAAGGAGGACGUGAGAAGCGCGGAACCCCCCGAGGUGCGGACUGCAGCCACAUGCCUGGAAGCCCCUGGAGAAGAGGAGGUUGCCCUUUUCCUGCUAGUGCUGUAGACUUCAGGGGUUGGUUGUUAUCUUUGGUUAUCUAGCUGUAUGAGUGGUGUCGAUUCUUCAUAAAGCUAGAUAACCGAAAGUAAAAAUAACCCCAUUACACGCCUGAGGAGGAUGUGGAGAAGAAAGGAAAUUCAUCGAGAGGAAGAGGAGGAAAACAAAAAGAAAAAUGAAAGAGAAAGAAAGAAGAUCAAGAAAAUGAGAGGCGGAAAAAAGAAAGAACAGAGGAGAGAGAGGAAAAAAAAAAGACAACUUUUUGAGACUGGAAUUAAAACCGAGCCAUCUCCGCUCCUCCUCUGCUGCGGUGCUGGGGAUGCCAUUGACUCCAGUGCAGAGAGUAGCUUCCCCUGCUGUGAUGCUCCACUCGUUUCCUGGCCAGCCAAGAGUAAUGCUUGAGUCCUGGUGGAAGUUCAUUCAGAAUUGCCUGGAGUGGAGGCUGGAAAGGAAAACACAACCACAGCAGAGCCUGGAUAUGGGAAGCUGGUAGCAGGACCCAUCUUGGGGACAGUCACUGUGUGUACCUUCCUCCAUCCUCCUCCUCCUCCCAGCAGCUGAUGACCUGGAGCAGCACUGAGCAAGCCUGGCAUAAGGACACCAGGAGCACUCUGGGGAUGGGACACAGCACCAUGCCACACUGGUGAGACUGGGGGGCACUGGGGGGGCACAGGUGAGGUGCCUGGGGCUGCGGAUGGGACAGGGCAUUUAUUAACGUGGCGCAGCUGAAGCGGGUGCUCUGCCAGUGGUCAAGGCUGCUCCACAAACUGAGCAUUGUUUCCCAGUAGGUUCAGCACAUUUUCCCCGCUCCCCCUCCCUUCCCCUUUCCUCUCCUCUCGCCUUCGCACAAAGAUGUCAUUGUGCUGGGAGCUCGGUGAUGGCAGCGUUGUUAUUGGGUUCAAAAAAAGAAGGAAAAAAAAAAAAGAGAGAGAGAAAAGAAAGAAGUGGGGAGGGGGGACCCAACAAGGUGAAGAGGUUUAAAUCAGCUUAGCCCAAAUGCCAAUUAAAAACCAAAGAGGAUUAGGCUUGUGAUCAGCAGAAUAGACCAUCAUUGUGCCCAGCUGAGGGUCCCCACUCUGGGUCCUGCUGUGGCAGUGCAGGGUCCAGCUCUCCAAGCAGUGUGUCCAGGGUGUGGGCAGCAAAAGCAUUGGGGUACCUGAUGGGAGCACCUUUUUUUCCAUGUGUUUUUUCUUUGUUUGAAGUGCAUGCAGGCACUCUUGCCUUGGUUUGAGCUCAGCUGAACAAGGAGAGCUCUUGGUCUCUCUGCCAAGGGGAGGUCUUCCUUAAAUUGCUUUUGGGCUGGGUUGGCUGCCAUCAUGCUGUCUUCAUAGGAGCAAGAGGGCAUCAUCCUGACCUCUGCUCCUGACACUGCGCAUCACCUUCAGUCCUGGGUGUGAUGGAAACACCAGGAGCAUCACAUGAGCUGUCCUGCA
Molecule: long non-coding RNA, 1819 nt
Organism: Phasianus colchicus (ring-necked pheasant)
Lineage: Eukaryota; Metazoa; Chordata; Aves; Galliformes; Phasianidae
Source: Ensembl